Molecule: non-coding RNA, 72 nt
Organism: Lipotes vexillifer (Yangtze River dolphin)
Lineage: Eukaryota; Metazoa; Chordata; Mammalia; Artiodactyla; Lipotidae
Source: the annotation of a RefSeq genome assembly
UCCCUGGUGGUCCAGUGGUUAGGACUCUGUAUUCUCACUGCUGCGGGCCCGGUUCGAUCCCUGGUUGGGGAA